This 248-nucleotide unclassified non-coding RNA is filed under the name uncultured bacterium. Its description in RNAcentral is "contains 16S-23S intergenic spacer region". It matches the Rfam family "Bacterial small subunit ribosomal RNA", at positions 524 to 776 of the family's 1533-position model. The record is from RNAcentral.
UACAGAGGGUGCGAGCGUUAAUCGGAUUUACUGGGCGUAAAGCGUGCGUAGGCGGCUUUUUAAGUCGGAUGUGAAAUCCCCGAGCUUAACUUGGGAAUUGCAUUCGAUACUGGGAAGCUAGAGUAUGGGAGAGGAUGGUAGAAUUCCAGGUGUAGCGGUGAAAUGCGUAGAGAUCUGGAGGAAUACCGAUUGCGAAGGCAGAUCACUAAUACUGACGCUGAGGUACGAAAGCAUGGGGAGCAAACAGG